UCUAAAUUAGCGAAGCUUAGUUGGUAGAAUAUAAGACUCUUAAUCUCAGGGUUGUGGGUUUGAGCCCCACAUUUGGCGAGAG
Non-coding RNA from Podarcis lilfordi (Lilford's wall lizard), 82 nucleotides. Lineage: Eukaryota; Metazoa; Chordata; Lepidosauria; Squamata; Lacertidae. The record is from the annotation of a GenBank genome assembly.